Molecule: ribosomal RNA, 545 nt
Filed under: uncultured archaeon
Lineage: Archaea
Description: bacterial SSU rRNA
Rfam family: Bacterial small subunit ribosomal RNA
Source: RNAcentral
CAGCCGCCGCGGUAAUACGUAGGGAGCAAGCGUUAUCCGGAUUUAUUGGGUGUAAAGGGUGCGUAGGCGGGGAAGCAAGUUGAAUGUGAAAUACCGUGGCUCAACCACGGGGCUGCGUUCAAAACUGUUUUUCUUGAGUACAGCAGAGGCAAGCGGAAUUCCCAGUGUAGCGGUAAUAUGCGUAGAUAUUGGGAGGAACACCGGUGGCGAAGGCGGCUUGCUGGGCUGCAACUGACGCUGAGGCACGAAAGUGUGGGGAGCAAACAGGAUUAGAUACCCUGGUAGUCCACACUGUAAACGAUGAUUACUAGGUGUGGGGAGAUUGACCCUCUCCGUGCCGCAGUUAACACAAUAAGUAAUCCACCUGAGUAGUACGGCCGCAAGGUUGAAACUCAAAGGAAUUGACGGGGGCCCGCACAAGCAGUGGAGUAUGUGGUUUAAUUCGACGCUACGCGAAGAACCUUACCAGGUCUUGACAUCCGACUAACGAAGCAGAGAUGCAUUAGGUGCCCUUCGGGGAAAGUCGAGACAGGAGGUGCAUGGCC